UCGUGCUAGACGGGGAGCUAGCGGUGCCCUGUAACCCGAAAUCCGCUUAUGCGGGGUUGAAAGUCCUUCAGGAGAUCCCUGAUGCGAGUUGAUCCUUCGUUGCCCGGGAGGUGAGAUGGACCUCACGUGACAGACGCUUGCGAACCCCGUCAGAUCCGGGAGGAAGCAGCGGUAAGCACGAAAGUCUGUGUCGUGAUGUGAUCUAUCUUUUACUCCAGGUGGCGAUGACUUCUCGGUCAUGGCUUAACUAAGGAUGCACGG
This is a non-coding RNA of Desulfobacteraceae bacterium 4484_190.2, 261 nucleotides long. NCBI's taxonomy places the organism in Bacteria, Pseudomonadati, Thermodesulfobacteriota, Desulfobacteria, Desulfobacterales, Desulfobacteraceae. The record is from Rfam.